Long non-coding RNA from Sander lucioperca (pikeperch), 130 nucleotides. RefSeq lists it as uncharacterized. The transcript has 3 exons. NCBI's taxonomy places the organism in Eukaryota, Metazoa, Chordata, Actinopteri, Perciformes, Percidae. The record is from RefSeq and is a predicted model, not a curated record.
ACCUGCUCCCGAUCCAUGACUACCUCACCUGCUGGCUCUGUAACCUGCAGACGGAUGAUUCUGAUUGGCUCAGAGUCGAUGAUGGAUCUCUUUUUACGUCUGGAACCACCUGAUGCAACCCGACACUCGU